Molecule: ribosomal RNA, 453 nt
Filed under: uncultured bacterium
Lineage: Bacteria
Description: bacterial SSU rRNA
Rfam family: Bacterial small subunit ribosomal RNA
Source: RNAcentral
AGAGUUUGAUCCUGGCUCAGAACGAACGCUGGCGGCAUGCCUAACACAUGCAAGUCGAACGAACCCUUCGGGGUUAGUGGCGCACGGGUGCGUAACACGUGGGAAUCUGCCCUUUGCUUCGGAAUAACAGUUAGAAAUGACUGCUAAUACCGGAUGAUGCCGUAAGACCAAAGAUUUAUCGGCAAAGGAUGAGCCCGCGUAGGAUUAGGUAGUUGGUGGGGUAAAGGCCUACCAAGCCGACGAUCCUUAGCUGGUCUGAGAGGAUGAUCAGCCACACUGGGACUGAGACACGGCCCAGACUCCUACGGGAGGCAGCAGUGGGGAAUAUUGGACAAUGGGCGAAAGCCUGAUCCAGCAAUGCCGCGUGAGUGAUGAAGGCCUUCGGGUUGUAAAGCUCUUUUACCAGGGAUGAUAAUGACAGUACCUGGAGAAUAAGCUCCGGCUAACUCCGUG